AUGACUAAAAGGACAAAGAAGGCUGGAAUUGUUGGCAAAUAUGGUACCCGUUAUGGUGCUAGUCUGCGUAAGCAGAUUAAGAAGAUGGAAGUUAGUCAGCACAGCAAAUUUUUUUGUGAAUUUUGUGGAAAGUAUGCUGUGAAGAGAAAAGCUGUAGGAAUAUGGGGAUGCAAGGAUUGUGGCAAAGUGAAAGCAGGAGGAGCUUACACUUUGAACACUGCUAGUGCCGUUACUGUCCGGAGCACAAUCAGGAGGUUGAGGGAACAAACUGAAAGUUAA
Molecule: non-coding RNA, 279 nt
Organism: Vicia faba (fava bean)
Lineage: Eukaryota; Viridiplantae; Streptophyta; Magnoliopsida; Fabales; Fabaceae
Source: the annotation of a GenBank genome assembly